This 76-nucleotide transfer RNA is filed under the name Candidatus Butyricicoccus avistercoris. RNAcentral's name for it is "tRNA-Thr". It matches the Rfam family "tRNA". From Rfam's summary of the family: Transfer RNA (tRNA) molecules are approximately 80 nucleotides in length. Their secondary structure includes four short double-helical elements and three loops (D, anti-codon, and T loops). The record is from RNAcentral. Lineage: Bacteria; Bacillati; Bacillota; Clostridia; Eubacteriales; Butyricicoccaceae.
GCUGUUAUAGCUCAGCAGGCAGAGCACUUCCUUGGUAAGGAAGAGGUCGACAGUUCGAAUCUGUUUAACAGCUCCA